This 497-nucleotide ribosomal RNA is filed under the name uncultured bacterium. Its description in RNAcentral is "partial 16S ribosomal RNA". It matches the Rfam family "Bacterial small subunit ribosomal RNA", at positions 28 to 507 of the family's 1533-position model. The record is from RNAcentral.
GAUGAACGCUGGCGGCGUGCCUAAUACAUGUAAGUCGAGCGAACGUACGAGAAGCUUGCUUCUCUGAUGUUAGCGGCGGACGGGUGAGUAACACGUGGAUAACCUACCUAUAAGACUGGGAUAACUUCGGGAAACCGGCGCUAAUACCUGAUAAUAUUUUGAACCGCAUGGUUCAAAAGUAAAAGACGGUCUUGCUGUCACUUAUAGAUGGAUCCGCGCUGCAUUAGCUAGUUGGUAAGGUAACGGCUUACCAAGGCAACGAUGCAUAGCCGACCUGAGAGGGUGAUCGGCCACACGGGAACUGAGACACGGUCCAGACUCCAACGGGAGGCAGCAGUAGGGAAUCUUACGUAAUGGGCGAAAGCCUGACGGAGCAACGCCGCGUGAGUGAUGAAGGUCUUCGGAUCGUAAAACUCUGUUAUUAGGGAAGAACAUAUGUGUAAGUAACUGUGCACAUCUUGACGGUACCUAAUCAGAAAGCCACGGAUAACUACGUG